AGCGGCGGACGGGUGAGUAACGCGUGGGUAACCUGCCCUGUACACACGGAUAACAUACCGAAAGGUAUGCUAAUACGAGAUAAUAUGCUUUUAUCGCAUGGUAGAAGUAUCAAAGCUUUUGCGGUACAGGAUGGACCCGCGUCUGAUUAGCUAGUUGGUAAGGUAACGGCUUACCAAGGCGACGAUCAGUAGCCGACCUGAGAGGGUGAUCGGCCACAUUGGAACUGAGACACGGUCCAAACUCCUACGGGAGGCAGCAGUGGGGAAUAUUGCACAAUGGGCGAUAGCCUGAUGCAGCAACGCCGCGUGAGCGAUGAAGGCCUUCGGGUCGUAAAGCUCUGUCCUCAAGGAAGAUAAUGACGGUACUUGAGGAGGAAGCCCCGGCUAACUACGUGCCAGCAGCCGCGGUAAUACGUAGGGGGCUAGCGUUAUCCGGAAUUACUGGGCGUAAAGGGUGCGUAGGUGGUUUCUUAGGUCAGAGGUGAAAGGCUACGGCACAACCGUAGUAAGCCUUUGAAACUGGGAAACUUGAGUGCAGGAGAGGAGAGUGGAAUUCCUAGUGUAGCGGUGAAAUGCGUAGAUAUUAGGAGGAACACCAGUUGCGAAGGCGGCUCUCUGGACUGUAACUGACACUGAGGCACGAAAGCGUGGGGAGCAAACAGGAUUAGAUACCCUGGUAGUCCACGCCGUAAACGAUGAGUACUAGCUGU
RNAcentral lists this ribosomal RNA (710 nucleotides) under uncultured bacterium. Its description in RNAcentral is "bacterial SSU rRNA". It matches the Rfam family "Bacterial small subunit ribosomal RNA", at positions 94 to 823 of the family's 1533-position model. The record is from RNAcentral.